AGCAGCCGCGGUAAUUCCAGCUCCAAUAGCGUAUAUUAAAGUUGUUGCAGUUAAAAAGCUCGUAGUUGAAUUUCGGGGACCAAUAUGUUGGUCGUGCCUCGGUACGCACUGGCAUUAUUGGUUUCUCCCUUCUGACGAACUACGAUGCCAUUAAUUUGGCGUCGUAGGGAAUCAGGAUUGUUACUUUGAAAAAAAUUGAGUGUUUAAAGCAGGCUCGCGCUUGAAUACAUUAGCAUGGAAUAAUGAAAUAGGACGUUUGAUUCUAUUUUGUUGGUUUCUAGGAUCGACGUAAUGAUUAAUAGGGAUAGUUGGGGGCAUUAGUAUUCAAUUGUCAGAGUGAAAUUCUUGGAUUUAUUGAA
This 359-nucleotide small RNA is filed under the name uncultured Entrophospora. RNAcentral's name for it is "SSU rRNA". It matches the Rfam family "Eukaryotic small subunit ribosomal RNA", at positions 569 to 933 of the family's 1831-position model. Lineage: Eukaryota; Fungi; Glomeromycota; Glomeromycetes; Entrophosporales; Entrophosporaceae. The record is from RNAcentral.